UUGGAGUAGUAUUAUUAAUGAAAUUUAACGGAUUUGGCGGCAAGAUAGCCCCUUAGAGGAACCUGCCCUGUAAACGAUGAGCCACGAGGUACUCUACUUUUUUUGGUAAUCAGUUUGUAUAUCGCUGUUGUCAGUUAGAUUCUUGAGAAUAUUUUCGUUCAUGAUAAGUUCAUUGACUUCAAGUAAAGGUGCAGCUUAUAAAAAAGAUAGAGGUGGGUUACAUUUAUAAGAAUAAAACGGAAAGGAUAGUUGAAAUAGUCCUUGAAGGUGGAUUUAACUGUAAAACUUAAAUAGGUUUGGUGAGAGCUC
This 309-nucleotide ribosomal RNA is filed under the name Tetraclita squamosa. RNAcentral describes it as "partial 12S ribosomal RNA". The record is from RNAcentral. Lineage: Eukaryota; Metazoa; Arthropoda; Thecostraca; Balanomorpha; Tetraclitidae.